AUUACCGCGGCUGCUGGCACGUAGUUAGCCGGGGCUUUCUCCUAAGGUACCGUCAUUAUCUUCCCUUAGAACAGAGUUUUACGAUCCGAAAACCUUCAUCACUCACGCGGCGUUGCUGCAUCAGGCUUUCGCCCAUUGUGCAAUAUUCCCCACUGCUGCCUCCCGU
RNAcentral lists this ribosomal RNA (166 nucleotides) under uncultured bacterium. RNAcentral describes it as "partial 16S ribosomal RNA". The record is from RNAcentral.